Long non-coding RNA from Mytilus californianus (California mussel), 4243 nucleotides. RefSeq lists it as uncharacterized. The transcript is spliced from 3 exons. Lineage: Eukaryota; Metazoa; Mollusca; Bivalvia; Mytilida; Mytilidae. The record is from RefSeq and is a predicted model, not a curated record.
ACGGUUUUCAUUAUAAAUAUGAAGAUUAAAAUUUCAUUCCUUCGACAGGAUAUUCAUUGUGGACUAUUAUUCUCAUUAGAUGUACAUUAAUGUUUCCGUCAAAAUAUUGCGUUCUCUUUGCAGAAACACUUUGAUCAUUCGAAGUAGAUCACGAAUGUUCAUGAUAAUACACAUCUAUAAUCAAAUGAUAUCGCAAUUGGCUCAUAUUUAGAUUGGGUGAAUACUUAAUGUGUACGCAAGGCAUCAAAGCGUUAUUAAACAAUGGUCUCGAUCUAGAAAUCAAAGCAAAUAUUAGAUAAAUUCAAUUUACCUUCUGUCAUCAAUUUUUUUUAGGAAUAUAAUUAUUCCAUUGUUCACAACAGGCUUAACGAGUAUAAUGUUUGUGUUUAAACGAAACCAUAUUUUAUCCCAAUCUAUUGUUGUGAAUCGAGAACAAGAACCUUUCGUCAGUGAAGCAUUAUAAUAAUAUUCCGAAAGUAGAAAUGUCUCGUUGCAUAAGUUGACAAAUUAGCAACACUGGCAAGUACAGUUUUGUUUUGUUCAGAUCAACUGCUCAUGAUGAUUGCUUUUGUUUCUGCUGAGAAGUUAUAUUCUUUCUAUUUGAAAAUGAAACUGCACAAUUAACAGUCUCAGUAUACAUGUUAUGUUAUUCUUCUUUUUCAGAAAGUUUAUCCAAAGAAUUAAAACUUAUAUUACUUGGUACAUGCAUUCCUAUAUUUCUGAUCGUCAUAUUUGUUUUAUUUAUGAUAAUCUUGAAAAAAACGAAAACAUCACAUGAAGAUGACCACGAUUGGGAGAUUACCAAUUUUCAUCAACUCAUACUGUCCUGUUUUCUAACGAAGGAAAGAGGAAGCAACUGGAACAGCAGCAUGAGGUCUAGCACAACCAGCAAACCUCUCGAUAAAUUAGAUCAAACGGAAGCAUGCCUUAAUAGUGAGAAAAAUGGAGAAAGCAAAAGUAAUACGAAAUCAGAAAUCACUGAACAUUUCCUAAUAGGGACUUCAGAGUAUCAAGGGGAAUCAGGAGAUACGCUGAAUGGAGUUUCAGUAAACAGUUCGAAGGAAAUUGACAUUUUGUGUUAAUUGUCCUUAGUUGCCAAAUGCUUUUCUGAAAUAUUGUACAACUUCUAAAUGAUAGAAAAAGAAAUCAGGGGAAGGAGAUCUCAAAACAGAAACAAACAAAAAGAUACGAAUCCAAGAAAAACACGAUGACCAAAAAAAAAACAUCCAUAACGAUCAACCCGCCGAGUAAUAAUGGCAUCCGUAAAACUUUCGUACACAUGACAUUAAUUUUGCCAUCAGGAGAUAUUGGCUCAGUUUCUACAAAUUGGACGAUGAAAACCAAAAAAAAAAAAAAAAACUAAAAAUGCUUUUGCGGAAUAAGUUUGUUUUUUUCCCAUGGUCAUGAUUUGUUUGAGCUGAUUUGUUAUAUUCGUCUGUCCUAUGUGUUAUUGUUGAUAUAAUGAAACGCAAAAAAGGAUAAAUAACAUUGCCAAAGAUACUGUAAAUUCAGAAAUUAUUGCGAUGAUUUUAUUAUUGCGACAAAUGCGACAGGGUUAUAAUCGCAAUAAUUUAAACUCGCAUUUUGAAUUUUUUUAUAUGAAUUAAACAGGAUUUUUCUUAAUAUCGCAAAAAUUAAAAUCGCAUUUUAGUCUAAGAUGACAAAAUCGCAAUAAUAAAUGCACGCAAUAAUUUCUGAAUUUACAGUAUUGCAUAGUUACUUAAUUUUGUCUAGGUUUAAUUAUUUUUAUGUAAGUGUUUUGUUCCCGUUGUUUUGAAUAAUUGAUAAAUAUAUAUUGUACGAUUCUGGCAUUGUGCCUUUUUGUUUUUCAAUGUAUGUGUUUUUUACACAGGUAAAAGUCUGUUGUUGUCUCUUUGACAUAUUUCCCUUUUCUAUUCUAUAUUCUAUAAUCUAUCAUUUGUCAUGAAAAACGUGUUAUACUGAUAUAUAUAUAUAUCAAAUUUUCACAGUUAGUUAAGUUUCAUAACAUUUACUUUCUGAUUGUUUAUUAAUUUAGUGAUGUUUAAGGGUUUGAUAAGAGUCAAUUUCCAAUCCCACAAUUUUGCGAUGAUUAAUCAUUUGAUAAACCUAUCAACGUAUUGUUUUAGAAGUCACUCGGCUAAUGUUGCAUGUGGACCAGGAUCUGCUUAUCCUUCCAGAACACCUGCGAUUACCACUGUUUUUGGUGGGGUUCGUGUUGCUCAGUCUUUAGUUACCUAUGUUGUUUUUUUUGUGUACUGUUGUUUGUUUUUUCAGCGUAAUUGCCGUGGCCUUGUGAGUUUGAUUAUUUCUUAUUUUUUUUCACCUCUCGCUUUCUAAAUAAUAUGAAAUAUUCAAGUUAUUUUUUAUAAAGUGUCAAGCGUUGCGUUGCAACUCAUGAUUUUUUUAUUUUUUAUUUUGUCUUGACAUUUACAUAUGUUAAUUUGUUUUGUAAACAUGUAUUUGUAUACAUCUUGUUGUUUGCAAAUACUUUUUCUAGAGUUCUUGUAAAAGAAUCAUUGGUAUUUAGUGAUUGUUAAUUAAUAUCAUCUUUCAUAUGGCAUGUGUAGCAAGACUUAUAUUUAUUCAUGUAUAACUUCACAGAAUAUAAUGUACUCAAUAAGAAUAUAAUGUACGGACUUAGACUGCGUCAUGGUAUAAGUGGAAUAGAUCAUUCAAUUAUAUGGCAAAUUCAUGAAUUACUAAUAUUUUUUUUCCUUUUACCCUUUAAAUUUGGUUUUUACUUUAAGGAUAUUAUACAAUUGAUGAACUAAGGCUGUAUCCCAAAAUGCUUUAAGAUUUAGUGUUAGUCUCCUAGAUAUCAUGAGCUUUCUUUGGAUUUAGAAAAAACGCCCACUAUUUAUUGGCAUAUACUAAAUAAUAAAUUGUAUAUGGAGGAACACUAUUUAUCUAUAUUUUUGUUAAUAAUUGUGAUACACUGCAUAAGUUUGUGUCAUUUAUUACGGUAGAACAUUAAUGUUGAAUUAAGGUAGCACAAUACAAAAGCAACUAAAUUUUAUCAAAAUUUCAUUUUCAGCUGUUUUUGUUACUUCUUAAUAUUCCAAAACCACAGAAGAAAAAUUCAUUUACAUAUCUUGAACUGUUAAUGAGUUUUGAUGAUAAUUAGUUUUAUAAACAAAUGCACGUGUCUGACUGAUACAAGAUAAGAACAUGUGGGUAGUACUAUGUGGUUAUUCAAUAGAAUCAUUUGAUAGCUUUAUGACCACUGACCAGCAAUACAAAAAACAGUUACGAAAAAGAGGUGGAUUAGGGAUUAAUGGAAUAAUUAAGAUAAUGAAUAAAAAUAAAAAUACAUUUCAUUAUUGGAGCUGCCAGGAGAAAAAAAAAGUAACAAUUUGGAGAUAUAGAGUGAAUCAAAAUAUAAAUGUACAGAAAUUAAACAAAUGUAAUUGUAUAACAAUUAAUGUAAUGGAAUGUCUUGGGGGAGAAUGUUUAGAUGUGAAUUCUUUUCAAAAGAAAAUACAAAUCAAAUAUUUCAUUUUCAAACUGCAAAAUUGAACAAAAUCUCCUAUGUGUAAAACACCAUAUUGUCCUUGUAUACAAUUACAAUUCUAAAAAUCCCCCAUAAGGAUCCCCUAAACUAACAAACUGAUAAUUUUGUAUACACAUGCAUAACUUACUUUUUGUAACAAAAAAAACAAAAUAUAUUAUGUUAUGUUAAAUGAAUAAAAUCCAUAUUGAAAAAAGUAAAUGCAAUGUGUAAUUAAACUUCUGAGAUCAUUAGUAGUAAAUGUUUAUCAUGGUGGGCGGAGUUUUGAUCAUAUCAGUAGCAACUGACUUAAAACAAGGUCAAUAAUGAUAUAACAUCUCCCGCCAGAUCCGGUUUCGGUGCAUAGGGUGUGCAUUAUCUCUAUAUAUUUAGAAUUGCUGAAAUUGAAUGCUUUCUUACUGGUCAAAACCUAAUUGAUUUAUGAUUGAAGGCCAAUCCCGAAAUAUCCAAAUGGCACAUGUGUGAAUUAUAUUGAAGUUAAUGGGGUACAAGUAGGAAAAUCCUUAUUUAUUCAAUUGUGACACAUUCAUUUUUGUCAUGAAAAUGUAGUUUUAAAUGAAUUUAGCUCCUAGAUGGGUGCCCCUAUAUGUCUGAUUUUCACACAUGUUGUUUCUUGACCAGUUAUCUUCAAAAGGGUGUCUCAGAUUUCCAAAAACAUCAAUAGAACAAAUUUUAUACCCAAUUAAAUUUAGUGAUCUCUUAUGAAUUUAAGUUGCAAACUUCAUUGAAUGUUUAUGAGAGAAUGAAAUACAA